AACCCUCUCAUUAAACCAUUUUGUUCUUGAACAAGAUAGUUUAGUGGAUGUUGAGUGUUGCUGUCAUUAGCUCACUUUAAAUAUAUCAGUUACUUUUCAAAUGAGUUGGAUUGACUUGGUGUAAUAAUUUUAUCAUCACAUCAAGGAAAGUAGCAAUACUUGCCAUCUUGUUUAAAUAAAAGGGACUUCUAAAAACCCAAUUAAUUAUUUU
RNAcentral lists this unclassified non-coding RNA (211 nucleotides) under Puccinia hordei. Its description in RNAcentral is "partial internal transcribed spacer 2". The record is from RNAcentral. Lineage: Eukaryota; Fungi; Basidiomycota; Pucciniomycetes; Pucciniales; Pucciniaceae.